UAGGGAAUAUUGGUCAAUGGACGGAAGUCUGAACCAGCCAUUCCGCGUGCAGGAAGAAGGUCCUAUGGACUGUAAACUGCUUUUAGCAGAGAAGAAACGCCUUCAUUUAUGAGGGUCUGACGGUAUCUGCGGAAUAAGCACCGGCUAACUCCGUGCCAGCAGCCGCGGUAAUACGGGGGGUGCAAGCGUUAUCCGGAAUCACUGGGUUUAAAGGGUGCGUAGGCGGGAUAUUAAGUCAGUGGUGAAAGUCUGUUGCUUAACGAUAGAAUUGCCGUUGAUACUGAUGUUCUUGAAUUGGGUUGAGGUUAGCGGAAUGUGACAUGUAGCGGUGAAAUGCAUAGAUAUGUCAUGGAACACCAAUUGCGAAGGCAGCUAGCUGGGCCUUGAUUGACGCUGAGGCACGAAAGCGUGGGGAGCAAACA
This 422-nucleotide ribosomal RNA is filed under the name uncultured bacterium. RNAcentral describes it as "bacterial SSU rRNA". It matches the Rfam family "Bacterial small subunit ribosomal RNA", at positions 355 to 774 of the family's 1533-position model. The record is from RNAcentral.